AGGACAGGACCAGACUGUUUUCAGUGGCGCUCAGCAACAGGACAAGAGGCAACGGGCACAAACAGAAACACAGGAAGCUCUGUCUGAAUAUGAGGGAAAGCUUCUUGACUGUGAGAGUGACGGAGCACUGGAAGAGGUCACCCAGAG
Non-coding RNA from Tinamus guttatus (white-throated tinamou), 147 nucleotides. Lineage: Eukaryota; Metazoa; Chordata; Aves; Tinamiformes; Tinamidae. The record is from RefSeq and is a predicted model, not a curated record.